CCCCUCUCAGGGUCGCACCUGGAGAGUUUCCAGUACUGUACCAGUCUCGGCUAUGGGCAGGAGAGUCAAGCAGAGGCCUACCCAUUCCAUUCCUAGCUUGGGCAGUGGCUAGCGAGUGGAAGGCAAUCUGCUAUAAAU
RNAcentral lists this small nucleolar RNA (138 nucleotides) under Ornithorhynchus anatinus (platypus). Lineage: Eukaryota; Metazoa; Chordata; Mammalia; Monotremata; Ornithorhynchidae. The record is from RNAcentral.